Molecule: long non-coding RNA, 4428 nt
Filed under: Nicotiana tabacum (common tobacco)
Lineage: Eukaryota; Viridiplantae; Streptophyta; Magnoliopsida; Solanales; Solanaceae
Description: long non-coding RNA (NTAB_LNC004803)
Source: RNAcentral
CUACAUCUUGCAAGGUAUCAAGCCUAAAACAUUUGAAGAACUUGCAACGCGUGCCCAUGACAUGGAAUUGAACAUGGCCUCCACUGGAAAUGAAAGCUUGCCCAUCUAUGAACCUUGCAAAGGGAAAGACAAGCAAGAAGUCAGGAAGUGGGGAAAGUUCUACCCAAGUCUGAAAGCAAAGAAGCUAUGAAUGUCAACACGUCACCUGUGAAAUUCACGACGAAGGUGAGCAAGAAACAGAGUAUGAAAUCACUUAUUUUCAAGAUAAGCCAAGUAGAAAAUUGACUCUAAAAGAAAUGCAAGAGAAAGAGUACCCAUUUCUGGAUUCUAAUGUGCCAGCCAUUUUCGAAGAACUCCUCGAGUUGAAUCUCAUUGAGCUUCCGGAGAUGAAGCGACCAAAUGAAUCUGGGAAAACAAAUGACCCAAAUUACUGCAAAUACCAUCGACUUGUGAUCCACCCUUUGGAGAAGUUCUUUCUCUUCAAGGACAAAGUCAUGGACUUGGCUCGCGAAAAGAAGAUCAUGCUUGAAGAUGAGAAAGUAAGCGCAAACCAAGUCUCUAUCACCUUUGGCUCAUUUAGUACGGAUGCAUUAUAUGGUAUUAAAAAAAGUAAAGAUGAAGAAUUACUAGAGAAUAACAAAAUCGAAGUAGACCACCAUGAUGAUGAUGAAGGUUGGACAUCUCGCCGUAGGUGCCACAAAAAGAGCCCACGAAAAGAAUCAGUAGAACAACUAACAAAGAAAAUGAUGGUGAAAAGACCAAGGAGAUGGAAUCCAGUUAAGAAUUUGAAGAAAGCAAAAGUGGAGGUGCACCAUCCUCAAAAGCCACGACAUCCAGUGACCUUGGAGGAGUUCUUACCAAGUUGCUUCCGCACAAAGCUUUACCAUGAGUGCAUUGAUGCCUUUUGUUGCCAUGCUGACAAAGGAGAAGAAAAGAGUGAUGAACUGCCAUUGAUACCAUCUUUGGAAAAGCUCGUCGAGUUCAUUCCUCAAGAAGUUAAUACUUGUGAGGAAAAAGUUACGUUCACGAAUGACGAUCUUCUAUUUGGUGACACUCCUCAUAACUGCCCAUUAUACCUGGUUGGCUAUAUGCGCAAUAAAAGUACAAAUCGAUUAUUGGUUAAUGGAGGAUCCUCAGUAAAUAUCUUGCCAAUUCGCACUGUGAAAGAACUUGGUAUUCCCAUGAAUGAACUCUCGAAAAGUCGUGUGAUGAUUCAAGGAUUCGACCAAUGGGGGCAAAGAGCCAUAGGUGUGAUCAGGUUGGGAAUCACCAUUGAAGAUAUGCAAUCAAGUGCAUGGCUACAUGUGAUCGAUGCAAAGACUUCAUACAACGUCUUGCUUGGAAGGCCUUGGAUACAUGAGAAUAAAGUAGUUCCAUCUACCUACUAUCAAUGUCUAAAAUACUACAAGGGUGAAGUCGAGAAAAAGAUAGUUGCUGAUGAUGAGCCAUUUACCGAGGUUGAGUCACACUUCGCUGAUGCAAAGUUCUACUUGAAGAACCCUAUGGUGAAGGAGUUAAAAGCUGAUGAUGACAUGAAAAACAAGAAUGACGAUCCCACAACUAAAAAAGCAGAGGUGACUACUGGUAAAGCCAAAGAUACUAAGGAGGUACAACCCAAAACGAAUAAAUCUUAUAGAGGGAAUAUUGCGUCUUAUGGCAAGAAAGUAAGUCCUGCGCUCCAAUAUGACCCUAAAAGGAAGAAAGAUGAAGGGAAUCUUCUAAUCUCCAAACUGACAUGCUAAAGGAGUUAACUCUUCUAGUAAAACGAAUUGAGUUAGUAAAGUUGUCCUCAAAGCCACUUGCAGGGAUUGUAGCCAAAAAUCGUUUGUAGAAUGUGGCACUCCUUACAAAGCGAACAGAUGAAGGUUUUGAUCCUAACGCUUACAAGCUAUGCAAAAGCUGGAUACAAUUCUAAUGAGCCGUCAAAGUUAGGGAAGCUACCAUCAGAAGCUGCAACGCGACAACCACGUGAAGGUUUGGGAUACAAGCAACUGUCACUAGUGUGCAUCUCCAUAAGAAGGGCGAGCAACAAUUAUAUCACUGUAGAAGAUGAAUCGGCCACUUCUAACAAGCCUUCUGCCUUUGAUCGACUUGAAAAAUCUCAUGUGAGGACUUUCAUGUUUGAGAGAUUGGGUCUAUUAAAGAAGGGGAACAAGUUCUAGAGAAAUUUUCAAAGCAUAAGAACACCCGCUUCGCCCAUAAUUCAGAAGAUCUCUAAUGAUUUCCAAAAUUUGGUUCCUUUUAGAAUGAGGCGACAAACAAAACUUGUCGUUUCAUGUAAAGAAGUAUUGAAGGUCUGUGGUCUACACUAAGGAAUGUGACGAAGAUGAAGAAAGUGUGGGUUCUUAGUAUCAUGUCACUGUACAAGGCGAGGAUGGUAUUCUAUCUUCGAUGGAGGAUAAUGCAGAAUUGGAGGAUGUGUCACCGUGUUAUCACGUAUCCUUUAAUGAUGGGGACCCUCAAGAAGAUGAAGAUGCGAAAUAUGCUCUACCUGAACUUGAAGAAGGAGUGAAGACGACAGUUGAUGCCUUAAAAGAAGUUAACCUUGGCACCGAUGAAGAACCAAGACCCACCUACCUAAGUGCUUCACUAGAAGUUGAUGAAGAAAGCACUUAUAUUAAGUUACUCAAGGAGUUCAGGGAUGCCUUUGCUUGGAGUUACAAAGAGAUGCCUGGCUUGGACCCAAAAGUAGUGGUCCAUCACCUUGCAGUCAAAAAUGGUGCUCGCCCUGUAAAACAAGCUCAAAGGCGCUUUAGGCCAGACUUGGUUCCCUUUGUCACACCUCCUUUUUCUGCCCCGGAAGAGGUAUAAGGGAGUUUUUCCAAUUAAUGUGACAAUAAUCAAAACGGGAUUAUUUAUUUAAAAUUCAGAGUCUCCACUUGGGAUAAUUUAUGGUGUCCCAAGUCACCGGUUUAAAAUCCCGAAUCGAGGAAAGUUGACUCUUAUUUAUGGUCUGCGAACACAGAAAUCAGGGUAAGGAAUUCUGUUAACCCGGGAGAAGGUGUUAAGCAUUCCUAGGUUCUGUGGUUCUAGCACGGUCGCUCAACUAUUAAUAUUGGCCUAAUUAUCAGAUUAAUUACACAUUUUAAACCUACGUGCAUUUUUUACUUUCUAACUGUUUUUAAUGUUUAUAGAAUUAUUUUCUGGAACAAGUCACGAUUGUCGUACAUAUCGCGAACCGCAUCACAUGAAAUGCACCCGUGAUUUAUAACAUGUUUAUUUCAUUAUUAUUCAAAAGUAUGAUCGGGUCACAUGAAAUGCACACCCGAAUUGAGAUUUACGUAUCAUAGGAACCGUACCUAUGGCCACAAUAAUUAUUCAUAUUGCGAAUCACGCCACGUGAAAUGUACCUGUGAUUUACUAACAUGUUUAUUAUUAAUACUAGUAAGACUUUUCCAAACACUCCUUAAAUAGCCUUAAUUUUAGAAGAGAUCGAUUCUGGUACUACUAUAUGACCUUUAUAUGUAAUAAGUAUAAUUUUAACACAUUAAUGAGUAAACAUAGAAAUUCAAGGCGAGAAUUACAUACAAAGCAGAUAGCAUAAGGCUGAAGCAAAAUACUAACAAUAAAGUGUUUCAUUUCUCAAAAACAAAAAAUUUCUGCACCAUGGAUAACUAGAAGAGCACCAGUAACAAGGUAAUACCUGGAUUUUAAGCGCAAAUGGACCUUGAUUUACCAAAUAAAACACACAAGUCCUUUUAUAUAUGAAAAUCUCUCUAACACAAAGGCGAAAGUUCGGCAAGAACUCAUCGGGAAACAAAGGACUCGCCGGCAACUACACAAACUCGACUAAAGAACAACGAACUAGUAAUCGACGGGACCAACGAAGGGACCUCAAACUACUCGGAAGGCUUCGAACCUCAAGCGACUCGAACACGGACUUCAAAUGAGGAAUUUGAGGUCGCGACAACCUCUGUUUUGAGGCUGAAAGAUGAGAAGAUGGGUCGCUGGACGUUGGCGGUUCUCUAGAAUGAAGGAUUUCCAGCUACCCUUUCCUUAGAGAUCUUAUGGACGCUGUUGUGUGUAGAAGACGAAGGAAAACGGCUAGGAUCUACGGCUGAAGUUUGAAGAUGAAGAGUCUUCAGCAUGUAAAAAAUGGCUCCUCUUUAGAUAGGGAUUCUAGGUUUUAUUUGUUGUCAAAAAAUCGAUGGAAACGGCUCUUGGAGAAGAAGGAACUUAGCUUCCAAAAAAAAUGGAAAAAAAACUGAUGAGAAAUUCUUCUGUCUUAAGUCUUCAUGAAGAAGAUGGUCAAGGUUCGGGGGGGGGGGGGGUCGUGUGUAUUGCGGCGGGUCUUAGGGGUCUCUAGGUCUGUUUUCUGUAUAUUCAGCUGAUCGCUUUAAGUCUAGGGUCUGUAGCCUAGGUCUCUAGGUUAAUUCUUUCAUUUUUUUGGUUUUUCCUUUGAUUUUUUCAAGAAGCCAAACGGCGGAU